GCUGUUGCACUGGCGGCGUGCUUACACAUGCAAGUCGAACGAUGAACCGCCUUCGGGUGGGGAUUAGUGGCGAACGGGUGAGUAACACGUGGGCAAUCUGCCCUGCACUCUGGGACAAGCCCUGGAAACGGGGUCUAAUACCGGAUACUGACCUGCCGAGGCAUCUCGGCGGGUCGAAAGCUCCGGCGGUGCAGGAUGAGCCCGCGGCCUAUCAGCUUGUUGGUGAGGUAAUGGCUCACCAAGGCGACGACGGGUAGCCGGCCUGAGAGGGCGACCGGCCACACUGGGACUGAGACACGGCCCAGACUCCUACGGGAGGCAGCAGUGGGGAAUAUUGCACAAUGGGCGCAAGCCUGAUGCAGCGACGCCGCGUGAGGGAUGACGGCCUUCGGGUUGUAAACCUCUUUCAGCAGGGAAGAAGCGAGAGUGACGGUACCUGCAGAAGAAGCGCCGGCUAACUACGUGCCAGCAGCCGCGGUAAUACGUAGGGCGCAAGCGUUGUCCGGAAUUAUUGGGCGUAAAGAGCUCGUAGGCGGCUUGUCGCGUCGGUUGUGAAAGCCCGGGGCUUAACCCCGGGUCUGCAGUCGAUACGGGCAGGCUAGAGUUCGGUAGGGGAGAUCGGAAUUCCUGGUGUAGCGGUGAAAUGCGCAGAUAUCAGGAGGAACACCGGUGGCGAAGGCGGAUCUCUGGGCCGAUACUGACGCUGAGGAGCGAAAGCGUGGGGAGCGAACAGGAUUAGAUACCCCU
RNAcentral lists this ribosomal RNA (747 nucleotides) under Streptomyces diastaticus. Its description in RNAcentral is "bacterial SSU rRNA". It matches the Rfam family "Bacterial small subunit ribosomal RNA", at positions 28 to 788 of the family's 1533-position model. Lineage: Bacteria; Bacillati; Actinomycetota; Actinomycetes; Kitasatosporales; Streptomycetaceae. The record is from RNAcentral.